RNAcentral lists this ribosomal RNA (548 nucleotides) under Wickerhamiella azymoides. RNAcentral describes it as "partial large subunit ribosomal RNA". The record is from RNAcentral. Lineage: Eukaryota; Fungi; Ascomycota; Dipodascomycetes; Dipodascales; Trichomonascaceae.
GAGCGGYAAAAGCUCAAAUUUGAAAUCUGGUACYUUCGGUGCCCGAGUUGUAAUUUGKAGARGGYRWCUUUGGGGCCGUCCCUUGYCUAUGUUCCUUGRAACAGGCCGUCAUAGAGGGGGAGAAUCCCGUGUGGGAGGGAGUGUGGUUCUUUGUAAAGUGUUUUCAAAAAGUCWUGUUGUUUGGAAUUGCACUUCUAAGGGGGGGGUAAAUUCCAUCUAAAGCUAAUUAUUGCCAAGAGACCGAUGGCRAACAAGUCCRGGGAUGGAAAGAUGAAAAAAACUUUGAAAAKARAGUGAAAAAUUMCGUGAAAUUGUUGAAAGGAAAGGCCUUUUGAUCGAACUUGGKGUUUUGYGCCCUCUGCUCCUUGYGGGGGGGGGAACCUCUCAUUUCACUGGGCCRGCCUCCRUUUUGGUGGGGGGAUAGAUCAAUMGGAAUGAAGCUUGCCUCCRACAGUAUGAUAGCCKGUGCCAAAACUGCCAUUUGGGACUUUGGACUGUCACUUUCCGCAAGGAUGGUGGCAUAAUGGUUAUAUGCCYCCCGUCUUAAA